This 59-nucleotide transfer RNA is filed under the name Ornithorhynchus anatinus (platypus). It matches the Rfam family "tRNA", at positions 7 to 64 of the family's 71-position model. From Rfam's summary of the family: Transfer RNA (tRNA) molecules are approximately 80 nucleotides in length. Their secondary structure includes four short double-helical elements and three loops (D, anti-codon, and T loops). Lineage: Eukaryota; Metazoa; Chordata; Mammalia; Monotremata; Ornithorhynchidae. The record is from Rfam by way of RNAcentral.
GUGGCUCAGUGGAAAGAGCACGGGCUUUGGAGUCCGAAGUCAUGGGUUUGAAUCCCAAC